UAAUGACGACAAAUGAUUUAAUAUAAACCAUUCAUAUAUUUCAACUUUCAAUAAACAUUUUGAGUGCAUAACAAUAAAUAGCAUUCAUAACUUACUAGACAGUUUACAAAGCUUCUUCAGGUCAUUGUUAUUUAUUUCUACCAACAGCUCUGCAGUUAACCUACUAAAAUGACAAUCCCUGUAUAUAAUAAAGGCGCAAAAUAUUGCUUUAUAGCAUAUUUUGAAAAUAAUAUAAAAAUAAGUUCUAUAUUACAAUUUAAACUUGGCUUGUAAAAUUUCAACAUAAUACAGCCUUUAAUCUACAAACAGAACACAUACAAACACUGUUCCUUUUAAAUUUUCUCAACAUAUACUAUAUUUUUUUAAUCAUAUAGUUAAUUUCGUGAUGUGCAAAUAAAUAGAAAAUUGUGUAAAUUACACAAAAAAAAAAUAAAAAUAAAACAGGAAAGAAAAAUUAAACAAAUUUAAGCCAGUUUGGUGAAAGGUCUAUGAGGAAAUUUCUGAUGACUGAAACAGCUCUUUACCAUCUACAUAAAAUGAUAUCUAUAGAUAAUGAGGUCUGAACUACACACAGGUUUUAUUGAAAGACAAAUGUCACAUGUAAGUCAUAUGUAUAUUUUUUUCCCGGAAGAACAAAUUUAAGAUAUGAUGAUGAAUAGAUAUGUUAGUCACUUGGAUUGGAACCGAUCAGAAAACAUUUUAGCCAAUUUGUCAUCAAGGUACUUCACACCAUCUGCAAAGAACUUUGUGCUGUUAGAUAAAGCUCGACUAGUAACCCACUUCUUGUCUGAAAAAUCUGAUGUGGGAAAACAAACCCUCCCCCCAUGUAGGUGACUGUGCAAUGGUCCAAAAUUGAAGGAAAACUAUGUUCACUCCAGGAAUUAGAGGAGAUGGAACAACGGUCAUAUAUAGUCAAUAUAUGUGUAUAUUGAAGCACAAGAAUCAAGCGUGCAUUUUUCGGCAUGUGUUUUACUUAACCAAACCUGAAAUGUGUUCUUUUGUGUAAGAGUGCUUCCUUUGCUCCUUGGAUUUUGACUUUAGGGAGAAAAUGUACUCACCGGAGACAUAACAUUGUUGUCACACUUGCUUCAUACAGCCUGAAUAACAUUUUUUUUUAAUGUCGCGACAGAGGUAUCUUCAGCUGAUAAUGCGUGGCAAUAUAAACUCAAAGUGGUGACAAAGUCUCUUGUUGCUGCAUGUGAAUGUUCUUUCAUAUUUAACCAAAUUGUAUACAGAGGGAGUAAAGAUCAGAUUGCAUCCCCUAGGAUUACAUUAAUGCUAAAUUUAACAUCAUUAGGGCUAGGUACAACACACAAACAUAUGCAGAUGUUGAAACCUACAAACGGUAGUUAGUGCAGUUUCCCAUCACAUUCAUUCAAUGUAUCUAAGAAAUAUAGCAUUACAUGAAAUUUAAUAAACACAUUUUUGUUUUGGCAUUCGUCAACCUAGAUAUCGGACAGUAUAUAGGGAAUAUAUUUGCAUAGCAACUCUGAUAUACAGAAACACAUUAGUAAUAUAGUAGGAGUAUCUAUAUUCUUCACAGACUUUUACAGAUUUUGUGCAAUUUGCAAAUGAAUGUACAACCCUAUAUGAAAGGCCAACAUACAAUCCAUGUAUAUCCUGGUAUGAUGUUCAGCAGUUUUUGUAGUGCAACUUUCACAAGACUCAGGCAGCAGUUAAAUGGAAUUAUAGGCCAGCGACCAAUGAAAAUCCACAGGUUAUAACAGAAAUACACCUUAUAGCUCUUCAGCGUCAAUAACCCCAGAAGACAAAGUGAUCAUACUUUCAUUGUAGAAUUUUGCUCUCAGGACCUGUUACAGAAUCAGUUAAACAAUUUACUAGGCCUUACUUUACAAACAAAAGAUCUGACAUCUUCAGAUAUGAUCAUGGAUCCUGCUAGGACAAUACAGGUUUUUCAUUUGAAAUUAUUUAUGCUUCAUAAAAUCCCAGUGCUGACAAAUUAUUGAUAAUCAUUUAACAAUCUUUUAGAGUUAUUGUUUGAGAUAUGUGCAUUAUAAAAAAAGUAUAUAUUUGGGGAAAAGAAUAAGAUGAAAAUAACCUAGUUGGAGAGAAUUGUGGGCCUUUUGCACUUUAGAUACAAAUAGUCUGAUAUCAAAUCCAGAAUAUUAACACAAGAAAAAAAAUAAAAAUGAUAUUUACACACACGAAAAAAAAGAUAAACAGCGGCCAUAUUUCAAUAAAGCAAUAUAUUAGUUUUGUGCUAACGUUCCACUCGUAUAAUAUAUUAGGAAAUAAGGUUCCACAGUGUGUGUUGUUGAAACGUUGAAAGUCAAAGAUCAAUAUAGCCAAAGUUUUUUCCCCUUUCCCUUUAGUAAAUAAGCGAUAUAUAAAAAAAAAUUUAAUUUUUAAAAAUGUAAAGAAAAAUAAAAAGAAAUAAAAAAGUAUUUUACAACAAAACAUAUUCCCCGAUGGGGCACUCACCAGCCUGGAACUGGACCUACUUACAGCAGAAAAAUAUGCCAACGGAGUAGGCCAAUGGCAACAAUAACAAAUGUAUCUUUAUACAAUAAAGCGAUGGCUGUCACAUUUCAUAACAUUAGCUUCCUUAGGAGAUAAAUCAAAAUAUCAUACUAAUAAGCACUCGAUGGCAUCUAAGUGAUUUUAUUUAGCCCCCAAGGAAGUCUUCGUAAUAAGACAUGUGGAGUCAUCGCUUCUAUGUAUUUAAUUACAUUGGUCCUGGUGUGACACUAUUACUGCAAUAUUGGGAUACCGGUCCUUCGACCAGCUUCACUGAAAGAGCAGAUAGCGUAUUGAGUUUAAUUUACUUAUUUUUAGCAUGAGUUGUUAAACUACAAGUAUAUGAAACAUACUUAAAAUAUAGCCAAAAAGGCAACUCCACAAACAUACAGCAGUUUUACAUGGUCUUCAUAUCUUUCAUGCAAUUUUAUUUUUUUUUAGUCUUCCUGUUCAGUAGGAUGGCUACUGAUCCUUAAUCUCACAUGGUCUUCAGUUAACACUUCAGACAUGCCUACAGUUUUUUCAAGAUUGCCUGACAUCCAUAAACUACUAAAUAUGUCUAUCAAUGUUAACAGUUUUUUGUGUAAUAAUUGUUUGCAGAGGUCGUAGCCUGUAUGCAACUACAGGGACUUGGAAUUUAGCUGAAGACCCUGGUGAUGGUGAGUGAUUAGGAAAUUAAUUCUGUCUGGACAAGAUAGACCGAUGAAGUAUGCAGGUAUGGAAAAACAAAACCUGCAAAGGACUAGUUGAGUUAUGAAAACUACCAAGCUGGAUGGUAUACGAAAUCUAAUUAAAAAUGUGUGGAUGGAGGAACUAAAAAAACAAAAACAAAAAAAAAAACGGGUAAAAUCAGAUCCUAUAUGGAGAGGAGAGCAGAAAUUGAAGGAGAGAUUAGGAGAUAAGAGUAUAAAAAGCAUGUGAAGAAUUGAAAUGGGUGAGUGGGCUGCCAAUGAGCAAUUGUUCCAACGAUUGACCAGUAAGUGAUGUUUUUACAUGGCCAUCAAUCCAAUAAUUUUACUGCAGUAUAGGAAUUUAGGCUUAAAGAUAUAUAUUUAUUAAUAAAAAAAAAAAUGUUUUUAUUGGUGAAAUUUUUUUAUUUUUUUUUACCGGUGUUAAGAAUUAAGGGAUUAAACAACAAUAAUAGGGUUUGGACUAUUAUGCCCCUUACAGCAGAAAAUUAAGUGUUUACAUUUUACACACAAAAAUAGGGAUUUGUUAAUCAUUAAGCUACAAAAGACAUUUCAACUACAUAUAAUGAAAAAUAAAAUAAAAAUGGGCCACUGGAAAACAUUACGAUAUACAACACUAUAUCGGUCACAAUACACACUAGCUAUCUGCUGCAGGUUUUAUACAGCGCAUAUAACAUACACUAAACCACAUAUAUAUGGACGAUCAGACUGGGACAAAUUGAUCUUAAACUAAACGAAUAUCCCUGCUUCAUACACUUACUGAACUUUCUUUGCAAUAAGAUUUGAGGGGCGAUUUAGACAUUGCCACACUCCUGCUGCUCUGGCAAUCAACUCACAUUAUGCUUAGUCAAUUGGUUGGCUUCCUUACUUACAAAAUAUAUAAAUGUACUUAAACAUAGUAAGUAAAUUGUAUCUGGUCUAUUCAGCUUGGGGUAGAAAAGGGAGAGGAGCAUUGCUUGCACGGUCAGGCUGUAUCAUUUAUAGGAUAUGAACACAACUUAAUUCGGUCUGACUUAUUGUAAAAUGUAGCAAUUAAAGAUUUAUAAAUUAAAGUCUAACACCAUAGCUAUUAUUAUUUAUUUGCUCUAUGGCCAGGACAUAUCUAAUACAUGCAGAGCAGACGUUAUAGUUUCCACACAAGACUAAUCAAGAUUUGAACAAUGUCUUGUAUAGGACAUGAAGCGGUUUCUAUAUCCAACAAAAUGGACUUGAUAUUUUUUUAUUUAUGCACUUUGAGUAUAUAUAUUUAUUUUAUCAGCAAUAUUGGGCACAUGAGAAUAUGGGACAUUAUAAUCAGUGGGAUGUCCAUAGCUUAGGAGACACGGGGAGGACCAGCCACUGAGUAACCAAAUGAGACUAGUGUGUGGAUAGUUCACACAAACAUUCACUCAACUUAUUUUCUUGGGUAGCUGCAUUACAUUUGGAACAUCUUAUGACACUGGAAGUAACUACAUGAACCGGAACAGUGCAUCAAUGAGGUGUUGGGUUCUCUCUCACCGGCGGUGAUACACUGCCCUUGUAAUACAUAACCUCUCUGGGAUAGGGUUAUAGAAGAUGGGAGAAUAGCUGGAAAAAGAAAAUAUCAGUGCUCCAGGUAAUUAUCUUUGGGCUUUGUUGGCUCUGUCGCUAUAUUUUUGCCUCUUGCAAAAAUGAGCUUCUCACCAGCCUUUCAUCGAGCUAAAAGAAAUAGAGACUGUAGGAGAGUAGAAAUAAAUAAAAUCUUGAGUUUAUAGAAUUGUAACUAGUGGAGACAUAUCUUUCGCUUUCUCUCAUCUAAAUUAGUUUGCCACUGGGAAAUAUGGAUUGUCACUUGCCCUGCUCAAGUGCCCAUCUGUAAAUCCUUUUCCUUCUUAACCCUAUCAGUGCAGAGAUAGAGACACUUAAGACUAUACGCUUGUGUCUGGAUAUAGACUGGCAGGGUUAGGGAAGUAACACAGGCAAUUGUUCAGUAACAGGAUUAAUCCACAGUUCAUACAAACAUUGCGCCUGGCUAGGGAACAUUAACUAAAGGAAAUAAACGUUGAACUGAUAUUUUAGUAGGCUUCACUUUUUCAGUUUUUUAUAAAUGAUAUAUUGUCAAAUUUGGCCCUCCCUAAUGGAGUUUUGGUCCCCAUAAUAUUUAUAUAGACUUUAUAAAUAUAGAUUAUAGUUUCAUGACUUUCAAAGAAUGGCAUGUAUACCAUAAUGAUUCAAAGGUAAGCAAACUACGAACAAGAAUGCGUAAAUUCUGGUUGAAAAUGCAUUAAGCAAUUCAUAUAUGACAAUAGGAUGGAAGACCUGAUUGGGGACAGUAUCAAAAGACAUAUCAGAAACAUGAAACUGACUUUUCAAGAAAAUCUAGGAGGUGAAAGAAGCUCGAGAGAAAAUUGAUCAAAAGUUUGAUCAAAUCCUAAAGUUUACAAAUUUCGCUGUGGCCCUAUCAAGUGACAUGGCCUUCCGUAUUGAUUUGAUGGGGUAUAUCUGUAGUCGCCUGGUUGGAUCUGGCCAAUAAUAUACACAAUACUGUAAUUUCCACUUGAAGUUAAUCAAUCAGAAAACAUUCUGUGCCCAAAGUUAUUGGAAUUGCAACUACUCUUUGUUAGUCUGGAAUUCUUCUAAGAAUGUUUUUUACUCUGUUUAGAAAAAAAUAAAAAUAAAAAAAAUAGGUGCUAGUGUCCAAUCUUAUUCCAUCUUCUGCUGAUUCCACCAAAGAGAAUAGAUGAAACCUGGAGGAUAAUACCUCGCGAUGUUUGGACGUAUUAAACAGAGGAGGCAAUGCGAACGCUCAUUUAACGCAAACAGGAGCAACAAAUUGGGUCAAUGCCAAGCAGGCACACAUACAUGUACCAGUCAGGCCUUCACAUGUGGAAUCUGUUGUGUAGCUGCUCUUGCAAGUUUGGAUUUGCAAGACAGUGGUGUCACAAGUGAAUAUUUUUGAAGUCCCCAGAAGGGGGUGUGGGGUGUGGCAUAAACAAAUUAAUACAUCAGAAUACGGUACUUUGUAACUGUGUGGAAAGGCAAGUUUGAAACCAAAGAAUGGCAUAAAACUAGCAAAACAAUUAAGCACAGCUUUUGCUAUACAAUACCCCAAGGUAGAUAAAACUAACAGACCAUGACAUUUUCAUCUGCAGAUAAGAGAUGCGUAAAAAGGAAGCAGCGAUAAUUUUCUGGUAACAGGUAUAAAAUGUGUGCCUGCCUUCUUUUUCUUUUAAAUGUUCUUUCAUAGCACAAUUACCAAUGCCGUACAGUUAAACCCCUUAAGGACCAAACUUCUGGAAUAAAAGGGAAUCAUGACAUGUCACGUGUCCUUAAGGGGUUAAAGUAGUAUGCAUGUUUACUUCAUACUGGAACAUGUUAUAAGGGACUCAUGUCAUUUAAGCAUUAAAAAUGUUUUUCAAGGUUUUAUCUUGUGGUUGGCUUGUUUGGAGGAAGUUGAUAAGUUAAUGGUCAGGAACAAAGAUGAUUUCGCCACAGACCUGCAGAGUAUUUUCUUCUGCAAUGGCAAGAAGAUAAGUGGAGAACAAAGCAUGCAACACAUGCACAGCAAAAUCUUUUGUUUCUGCCACUACCAGUGUGUGCAAGUCCAUUGACAGAAGGCUGUCUGGUAGGGGGACAUAUCAGUUAGCUAAACAUCUUAUUCUAUCUACCAGGGUAUCUGCAAGAUGAAACCCUGGAACAUGAUUUUGCUAAAUGUCUACACAGUGUAUAAACAUAAUGUAGAUACCACUUUAAUUUGUACAAAACAGCCUGUUGUGUAAAGAUUAAUAUACCAAUUAUACUGAUCAUUCUUUAACAUAUGUGCGGUUUGGUUCUCCCACUGAACAACAUUUCUAACCUUGUAUAUUUUGGCUAAUUGACUUAACAAAAUGCAAUACAGUUCUCCUAAACAGUGUGGAUAUUUAAAGGGACAUGCAUCAGUUGACAAUUAUGUUUUUUAAACAAGCAAACACAAAUAAAUAUACAAAUCAAAAUAAAGCAAGAAAAUCUUUGAAAAAGUAAGGUAUGCAUGUUUAUAAACUUACUAUAAGGAGAGAGAAACCCAACACCGAAGUCUGCUCUGCAUAAAUCACACUGAUCAGACUCUCUUUCAGAUAAAUGUUGCAAAGUGAAGAGAUCUUCCAACUGCACAUGCCCAAUGUACUUUUCCAGCAUUCCUAGGGAUAGGACACUGAUUUGUUAUACCAAUGCCCCCCACCCGGAGUGGGUAUGGAAAGCAUAAGAAAGAAGAAGCAUGUAAAUAUGAAAAAAAAAUUGCAUAUUGUACCUGCUUUUUUCAGUCUGUAGAGUAAGACAAACUAUCUAAUUCAAAGCUAAAGCUUUUGAACGAGACAGUUGUCUCAAAAUGGUGCAUGUCCCUUUAAUGAAGGCAUGUAGAAUAAAAUAAAAUUGCAAAGUCAUCCUUGUGGAGAUAUCCAAAAAAAUGUGGUCUAUAUUUCCUACCAACGUGUGUAUUAAAUCACAGUACUUGACAUAAUGACCCUAAAGGCAAAAGUAUUUAAAAGUAUGCAAAAAAACAUUCCCUUUAAUGUUCCAUUAGCUACAGUGACUACAGACCACGGCCUCGAGGGAUUUACUAUUUGAGCAGCAUGCUGUCGAGAGUUGCCAGGUGGAUUUCAAAAUUGAGGCAAACCGUGCAGUGCUGGCACAAAUCACAGUUGACCUUUUAUUAAACAAUCUGCUGUGUGCACAAGGUGGAGAGCUUUUGGAACAGGAUGAAGCAACCAGAGACUGCCUGCUGUAUGUUAUUGGUGCUGAAUUGCUCUGCACACAGCCAACUCAUAUCUGCUCUACAAAAUGUACCAAUUUAUACAUUAUAGUACGGAAUGCAUACACAGCAAGCACGCAUACAAGCUGAUUUGUCAAUCACUGGCUAACCCUCUCGAUCAAGAAAUUAUUCUAGCAAAAACACCAAAUACAUACUUAGAUUUGAUGUUUCCAGAGUGCCAUGGGAUGUGCAUGCAACCAUGUGCUUUCACUAUGCUAAAUGAAACAUCUCAGAAUGCAGUGGUCAUUGUGGGAUACCACACUAAGCAUUGUUGGAAUCUGACACAUGCAUAGCCAGUGACCGUGCCAUACACUGCAUGUUUAUGCUUAAAGGACCACUAUAGUGCCAGGAAAACAAACUCGUUUUCCUGGCAAUAUAGUGCCCUGAGGGUGCCCCCACCCUCAUGGCCCCCCUUCCCCCAGGCUGAAGUUGGAGGAAGGGGUUAAUUUCUUACCUUUCUCCAGCGCCGGGCUCCCUUGGCGUUGGGGACUCUCCGCCUCCUUCUGACAUCAUCGGCUGAAUGCGCAUGCGCUGCAAGAGCCGCGCGCGCAUUCAGUCAGUCAGUCCAUAGGAAAUCAUUUCUCAAUGCUUUCCUAUGGAUGCUGGAGUCUUCUCACUGUGAAAAUCACUAGAGGCUGGAUUAACCAAUAUGUAAACAUAGCAGUUUCUCUGAAACUGCUAUGUUUACACCAGGCAGGGUUAAACCUAGAUGGACCUGGCACCCAGACCACUUCAUUAAGCUGAAGUGGUCUGGGUGCCUGUAGUGGUCCUUUAAUUCUAGUUUAAUAAUGCAGCCAUUUAUUAUCCCAAUGCAACGAUAUCUCAAAACGAUCUAUUGCAGGAGCAUGUUAAAGCACGUGUUCUUCGAUAAUCAUGACUACUACGUGUGCAAAGGCCCAGUGUGUUUAAACAAUUCUAAUUUAUGCAGACUUAUUGCUGCAUGUGGGACUGUAUCUCUCAGUGAUUAUAUACGAUAUGGUAUACAUGGCGAGAGACACCAGAUCACACUGCAAUAAUAUACAUCGGUUUUAUCAUACAUUGACAAACUGCCAAGGUUUUGUGUUUAAAGAGAGGGCUUGAUUAAACGGAUAUGAUUUGGGUUUUUCAGGCAAAUGGAUGUCUUGCACCAACUAACAAACUUAUAGAUGGAAAUGUCCAGAAAUGCACAUUUGUCUCUAGCAAACACAACCCUGUCUUAAUUAAACUUAGAUUUAUUUUUUUGUGUUACCAAGUAAAAAUAUAAUAAAAAAAAGCAAAAGCUGUUGAAACACAACUAAAUGAUCCAAAUAAGUGAAUCUAACAAAUUUAGUGUUAGAUCUUUAUCAUUAUUUGCAAGCUAAUGGUUUAAUAUGUCUUAGGCACAGAAUCCAUCUCAAGUGACGGGAACCCCCAAAUGCUGCUAAUUUCUGCCUAAAAUAUGUCCAUGUAUCAUGGUUUAUACAGUGUCCUAGUCCCAUCGAUCUGCUAUUACCAAGAUGUAUACAAUGUAAGACAACAUUACAAAAACAAAUUUAUGUAAAAUGCACAUGAACUGACUGACCCUAAAAAGUUAGUACAAAUCCAAGUUUUUCUUAUCUAUGAAAUUAAUAACCAUGAUGACCAAAGCACUUUAUACUAACAGGAGCUUUGGCUGUACAAAACCAAUAUACAUAUAUAUUUAUAUAUAUACACAUAUAUAUUUAUAUAUAU
Non-coding RNA from Pelobates cultripes (western spadefoot toad), 9600 nucleotides. The record is from the annotation of a GenBank genome assembly. NCBI's taxonomy places the organism in Eukaryota, Metazoa, Chordata, Amphibia, Anura, Pelobatidae.